GCCGUCAUAGUAUAGUGGUUAGUACAUCACGUUGUGGUUUCCCGUGAAAACCUCAGUUCGAUUCUGGGUGACGGCA
This 76-nucleotide transfer RNA is filed under the name Yarrowia sp. B02. RNAcentral's name for it is "tRNA-His". It matches the Rfam family "tRNA". From Rfam's summary of the family: Transfer RNA (tRNA) molecules are approximately 80 nucleotides in length. Their secondary structure includes four short double-helical elements and three loops (D, anti-codon, and T loops). Further hydrogen bonds mediate the characteristic L-shaped molecular structure. tRNAs have two regions of fundamental functional importance: the anti-codon, which is responsible for specific mRNA codon recognition, and the 3' end, to which the tRNAs corresponding amino acid is attached (by aminoacyl-tRNA synthetases). tRNAs cope with the degeneracy of the genetic code in two manners: having more than one tRNA (with a specific anti-codon) for a particular amino acid; and 'wobble' base-pairing, i.e. permitting non-standard base-pairing at the 3rd anti-codon position. Lineage: Eukaryota; Fungi; Ascomycota; Dipodascomycetes; Dipodascales. The record is from RNAcentral.